Molecule: ribosomal RNA, 440 nt
Filed under: uncultured bacterium
Lineage: Bacteria
Description: partial 16S ribosomal RNA
Rfam family: Bacterial small subunit ribosomal RNA
Source: RNAcentral
CUACGGGGCGCACCAGUGGGGAAUAUUGGACAAUGGACCAAAAGUCUGAUCCAGCAAUUCUGUGUGCACGAUGAAGGUUUUAGGAUCGUAAAGUGCUUUCAACAGGGAAGAAGUUCUGACGGUACCUGUAGAAGAAGUGACGGCUAAAUACGUGCCAGCAGCCGCGGUAAUACGUAUGUCACAAGCGUUAUCCGGAUUUAUUGGGCAUAAAGGGCACCUAGGCGGCUUAGUAAGUCUGAUGUGAAAAUGCGGGGCUCAACCCCGUAUUGCGCUGGAACUACUUAGCUAGAGUAUUGGAGAGGUAGGCGGAACUACAUGUGUAGAGGUGAAAUUCGUAGAUAUAUGUAGGAAUGCCGAUGACGAAGGUAGCUUACUGGACAAUUACUGACGCUGAAGUGCGAAAGCUAGGGGAGCGAACAGGAUUAGAUACCCCCGUAGUC